This 968-nucleotide long non-coding RNA is filed under the name Homo sapiens (human). RNAcentral's name for it is "HSALNT0218674". Lineage: Eukaryota; Metazoa; Chordata; Mammalia; Primates; Hominidae. The record is from RNAcentral.
UGAUCCGGCUGCUUGAAUAGUUUUAAACAUUCUUCAUGGUAGGCAGUCAUGGGAGGGUGCUGCAGAAUUCCUGCUCCCUUCCAAUGUCAAUUUUGGGUACUCCAGGGCACAGACACGGAGUUCGGUUUCCAGCAUAACACCUGGCAGUAAGAGGAUGAGAAAGGCUUGGAAAGUGGAGAUUAGAAAGACCUGAACACAAGUUUAAGUAUCAUCUUCCUGGAUCUGGCCACACUGCUGCUGAAUCAAUGUGGGGAACUGUGGACCUGUUGGUGCAAUGAAUUUGAGAAGCUUCUGUGCUGCAGAGCUCCAAGGCUGGUCCUGGUAGACUGGUGCUACCCCAAGGAUGUCCCAUCUUGAAUGCACGUAUAUUCUGGAGCAAGACUUCUAAGGAAGCUACAGAAAACAGUGAGCCUGAGAGAAUCACAGAGUCAAUGAACAAAUGUUUAAACAGUCACUUAAUGGCUACUAAACUGAUAGAAACUAACAACCAGUUGUCUACAGUGUUUCCUAAUUUGGGCUGAUCAGAUUCAUCUGUGAAACUUAAAAAAUACAAAAAUAUUAAAGGAAGGAAUUCUUAUGGUGACCAAAGUAUAAAAGUUCAUAAACAUAAAAAGUUCGUCUCCUCUCUCCCACCCCCAAAUAUCUUGAUCCCUAAAUGUAACUAUCAAAAAAACAAAGUUCCUUGGGAAAUUUGCUGUUAAUAAACAAAGCAGAUAGACAGAUACAUAUAGAUAAAAUGAUAUCAUGCUCUUCAUAUUAUUCUGCAACUUGUUUUUCACUUGAGCAAUCAGAAUAUACAGAUCUAUUUUUAUCUGGUGGUCUGAAUUGAAGGACGCUCACAUGGCUUUGACUGUCUUUUCCUGCUGGAGAUGUGUGGGUGAGACAAAGGCAUAGAAGCCACUGGUCCUCUAACUUUACCUGGAGGGCAUGUUCAAGUGAGAUUACUACUCACAUCCUCCCCAUUCCGC